GACGAACCGUGCAAACGUUAUUCGGAAUCACUGGGCUUAAAGGGCGCGUAGGCGGGCUCGCCAGUCAGGGGUGAAGGCCCACGGCUCAACCGUGGAAGUGCCUUUGAUACUGCGAGUCUCGAGGGAGGUAGGGGCGUGCGGAACUUCCGGUGGAGCGGUGAAAUGCGUAGAUAUCGGAAGGAACAUCGGUGGCGAAAGCGGCGCGCUGGACCUCUUCUGACGCUGAGGCGCGAAAGCCAGGGGAGCAAACGGG
Molecule: ribosomal RNA, 253 nt
Filed under: uncultured bacterium
Lineage: Bacteria
Description: partial 16S ribosomal RNA
Rfam family: Bacterial small subunit ribosomal RNA
Source: RNAcentral